GGCGUCCAGUCUGCCCUCUUCCCUCUGGCUCGAGGACAUUUAUAGGGGAACUUGGCAUUAUCGGGCGCGCCAUCCCGUCGGUCGGGGCCGUAUCUCUGAUGGCGUCCGACAUCGCCGAGGAUGUUGCGUAUGGGAUCGGGGAAUCGCAGGGUAUGGGCGAGCUUCAACCACUACCUACUUCUGUCUCGUCCUACUGUGUUGGGUUGACUGAGGGGCUGCGGGCUCAGUGAGGCUGACGUCCGGACGCAGACCGUUGCCCUCGUUGCUCUCCCUGGGGCGCCGCGCCU
This 287-nucleotide long non-coding RNA is filed under the name Musa acuminata (dwarf banana). RNAcentral describes it as "long non-coding RNA (MACU_LNC007014)". Lineage: Eukaryota; Viridiplantae; Streptophyta; Magnoliopsida; Zingiberales; Musaceae. The record is from RNAcentral.